GGUUCUGGUAGAACGUAUUUAGACUGACAGAACCACACAGACACACAACCUGCUGAUACACAACUACACACACACCUGGUUCUCUGUUCCCAGCAGAACCCCCUCUUCCUCCGGUCUGGACUCUGGUCCAGGAAGCAGCGCUCUUCUUCGUUGGGGGAACAAGUUGUCCUGGCGGUAAUGAGCUGCAGCGCCUCCAGAUACUCAGGACGACCGAAGAACUGCAACCUGCGGCUCCAGCUGGAUCCUCUGGAGCAGGAGUGUCCAACUCAUUUUGGUCCAGGGGCCGCAUACGCCCUCAUUUGAUCUCAAAGGGGCCGGACCAGUAAACUUAUAGCAUAAUUACCGAGAAGUAACAAUACGUCUAAGUUUUUCCGACGUUUUAGUGCAAAGGAGAACAAGUAUAUUAGAAAAUCUUUAUAUGUAAUGAACUGUCCUUUUAAAAAAUAUAUUAGAAACAACCAGAGAUUAAAGUAAGUGUAAUUUCAACAACA
Molecule: long non-coding RNA, 491 nt
Organism: Acanthochromis polyacanthus (spiny chromis)
Lineage: Eukaryota; Metazoa; Chordata; Actinopteri; Pomacentridae
Exons: 2
Source: RefSeq, a predicted model, not a curated record